AACAGACCAAUGGAGCGGGGACGUCCAGGGAGGAAGGCGGGGUGGGGGCGGUGGCCAAUGGGCCCACGGCGUGGGCGGGCCGAGGCGCUCCGGAAGCGGGCAGGGGAAAGUGGUGGCCGGCUCGAAGUGGGAGUACGGCGACCUGGGCGGAAAGCGGGACCUGGCGGGUGGGUACUCAGCCGGGCCGGGCCCUCGGAGCUGCAACUGGACUACGUCAAGAAGGUCAACUGCCACGAUUUCUCCAUGGUCGCCCUUUUUUCUGCGGCCACAGUACAGGACAGAUGGAAAGGAUCCAGAGUGCUCUGUGAAUAUGAGAUGCACUAUAUUUUCCAGAAAUUCCUGACUUUAUUGCGGAUGGAAUUUUGGUUUUUUCACCAGUUUUGCUGUGUACUGUGUGCUAAAAGCAAUGACCGCCACAGGAUCCUGUUUUGGAAUCUGCAUGGAGCUGAUGGUGACUAGGACCCCGGUGACUACAGGAACGUCCCAGCUAGCGGAUGGGGGUCGGUGGUUUUGUGUUGAGGACAGAUGCAGGCCCCUAGCCCUGUGAAAGCUAAGUGGAGGGACCAGGGCUGGGGAGGGAUUGGGAGGAGGAGGGGACAACUUGGCAAUUGUAGGAGGGGUUUUGAAGUUGUGUGGUAUUAGAAAGAACAUGUGCCUGGUGGCUCUGAGUAUACAUGGCAGCUCAGUGAAGUGUUUCUGGUUUUGCAGGCUGUGUGGGCUGCCUUUUGAAAUGGGUGAGUGUUUGAGGUGAGCUGGGUAAUGGAGAGGAGGCACACUGGGCUGGUGAUUUCUUGCACAUUCAAUGGUAUUUUUGUGUCUCUUGGUUUCUUAGGUACCACAAACAGAUUGGCUCUGGAAUCCAUGCAGAGAUUUCUGCCUGGCUUUCAGGGGCACGUUUCCCUGGCAGUCUGGUAGCAUCUCUCUGGUGCAGUGCUGCCAGCCAGAUGUCCCUCUCCCUUGGGUAGGACAGGAAAAAGCCCCCGGUCAAAUGAUGACUGGGCGUUUUGGAGACGGAGAGCACAAUGGUGUCAGUUCAGAGCUGGGCCAGUUAAAUUAGUGCCAAAGGAAAGUCAAACACUUUUAUAGUGUAUUUUUAUUGACUGUAUCUAAACGUACACAGAGCUUUCCAGGGAAAGGGAAGGGAGGAGGCGCUUCCCCCCCACCGGGCAGAGGGGUUUGUUACACUGUUGGGCUGAGAAGGUGUUCCAAGUGGCAUCAGUCAGUCUUAAUAGGGACUUGAAGCGUCGGGAGGGCUCUGGCUUUGGCAGGCUGUGCCGUCUUUGAAGCUGAGCUGUUUCCCCAGAAUCAUCCUGUAGCUCAGCUUCUGUCCUGUCCCUCAGUCUGAGGGAAUUCCUCUACUCUCUCCUCUGUGCUGUUUUGUUUGAUGCUGAACUACAGUUGGGGAUUGUUGUUUUGCAGGUGCUUCGUUGUCCACGUCUCAUGCUGCUUGAUAGCUGCCCCAGCCUGGGUUUGCAGCCAGUGGUGGGCCUGAGGGGAAGGGACCAGCCCUGGGUCUGGGCAUUUGGUGCUGUCUUUUUGCGGUGAAUAAAAAGGUGGGGGGAGGGUAUUUGGAGAGUGAU
This 1580-nucleotide long non-coding RNA is filed under the name Calidris pugnax (ruff). RNAcentral describes it as "lncRNA (ENSCPUG00000016133.1)". The record is from RNAcentral. Lineage: Eukaryota; Metazoa; Chordata; Aves; Charadriiformes; Scolopacidae.